This 95-nucleotide signal recognition particle RNA is filed under the name Sphingomicrobium lutaoense. RNAcentral's name for it is "Sphingosinicella sp. CC-TBT-3 Bacterial small signal recognition particle RNA". It matches the Rfam family "Bacterial small signal recognition particle RNA". From Rfam's summary of the family: The signal recognition particle (SRP) is a universally conserved ribonucleoprotein involved in the co-translational targeting of proteins to membranes. Lineage: Bacteria; Pseudomonadati; Pseudomonadota; Alphaproteobacteria; Sphingomonadales; Sphingomicrobiaceae. The record is from Rfam by way of RNAcentral.
CUCGGAAGUCGGCGGACGGCUCGUCCGUGAACCUGGUCAGGCCCGGAAGGGAGCAGCCACAACGGUUUACAGCCGGGUCGUCGGCUUCCACCUCC